GCCCGGCUAGCUCAGUCGGUAGAUCAUGAGUCCCUUAAUCUCAGGGAUUUCUCAUGGGUUUGAGCCCCACAUCUGGCA
Molecule: non-coding RNA, 78 nt
Organism: Pangasius djambal
Lineage: Eukaryota; Metazoa; Chordata; Actinopteri; Siluriformes; Pangasiidae
Source: the annotation of a GenBank genome assembly